This 21-nucleotide non-coding RNA is filed under the name Caenorhabditis elegans. Lineage: Eukaryota; Metazoa; Nematoda; Chromadorea; Rhabditida; Rhabditidae. The record is from RNAcentral.
UAGAAGACAACAAAAAAGUAA